AUACUUACCUGGCAGGGGAGAUACCAUGAUCAAGAAGGUGGUUCACCCAGGGCGAGGCUUGGCCAUUGCACUCCGGCCACGCUGACCCCUGCGAACGGCGGUGGGACGUAUGGUACACUGUUAAAAAUUGUCCCGUUAAAAAACAGU
Molecule: small nuclear RNA, 147 nt
Organism: Danio rerio (zebrafish)
Lineage: Eukaryota; Metazoa; Chordata; Actinopteri; Cypriniformes; Danionidae
Gene: U1
Rfam family: U1 spliceosomal RNA
About the family: U1 is a small nuclear RNA (snRNA) component of the spliceosome (involved in pre-mRNA splicing). Its 5' end forms complementary base pairs with the 5' splice junction, thus defining the 5' donor site of an intron.
Source: Ensembl